GAGUUUGAUUCUGGCUCAGGACAAACGCUGGCGGCGUGCAUAACACAUGCAAGUCGAACGAAAUCUACAUGAUUUAGUGGCGAACGGGUGAGUAACACGUGAGAAACCUGCCUUACACAGAGGGAUAGCCGUUGGAAACGACGAUUAAUACCUCAUGACACCGUGACAUCGCAUGAUGAUGCGGUCAAAGAUUUAUCGGUGUAAGAUGGUCUCGCGCCUGAUUAGCUGGUUGGUGGGGUAACGGCCUACCAAGGCGACGAUCAGUAGCCGAUCUGAGAGGGUGGACGGCCACAUUGGGACUGAGACACGGCCCAAACUCCUACGGGAGGCAGCAGUGGGGAAUUUUGCACAAUGGGGGAAACCCUGAUGCAGCGACGCCGCGUGAACGAAGAAGGCCUUCGGGUUGUAAAGUUCUGUCCUUGGUGAAGAUAAUGACAUAACCAAGAAGAAGCCCCG
Molecule: ribosomal RNA, 456 nt
Filed under: Helcococcus sp. canine oral taxon 069
Lineage: Bacteria; Bacillati; Bacillota; Tissierellia; Tissierellales; Peptoniphilaceae
Description: bacterial SSU rRNA
Rfam family: Bacterial small subunit ribosomal RNA
Source: RNAcentral